GUGGGGAAUAUUGCACAAUGGGCGCAAGCCUGAUGCAGCAACGCCGCGUGUGGGAUGACGGCCUUCGGGUUGUAAACCACUUUCAGCGCCGACGAAGCGAAAGUGACGGUAGGCGCAGAAGAAGCACCGGCCAACUACGUGCCAGCAGCCGCGGUGAUACGUAGGGUGCGAGCGUUGUCCGGAAUUAUUGGGCGUAAAGGGCUCGUAGGCGGUCCGUCACGUCGGAAGUGAAAACUCAGGGCUUAACCCUGAGCCUGCUUCCGAUACGGGCGGACUAGAGGUAUGCAGGGGAGAAUGGAAUACCUGGUGGAGCGGUGGAAUGCGCAGAUAUCAGGUGGAACACCAGUGGCGAAGGCGGUUCUCUGGGCAUUACCUGACGCUGAGGAGCGAAAGCGUGGGGAGCAAACAGGCUUAGAAACCCUAGUAGUCC
RNAcentral lists this ribosomal RNA (430 nucleotides) under uncultured bacterium. Its description in RNAcentral is "bacterial SSU rRNA". It matches the Rfam family "Bacterial small subunit ribosomal RNA", at positions 354 to 796 of the family's 1533-position model. The record is from RNAcentral.